CGAGUUUGCAAGCUGAGUGCUUAGAAUAUUGGCAUAAUAAUAAAAGAUGCUGAAAACUGGAUUCCACUAUUUUAUUGAAUAUAUGAGUAAUCAUAUACUGAAUUUGUAAUGGAGGCAAGAUAAAAAAGCUAUGUUUUUCAGUGGUCAUACCAUGAUCUCAUGAAAAUAAAUAGGUUGACAUAUAUAAUUAAUUACUGCGUAUUUUGUUAUGACGACUAUUGCACAUUAAUACCAUAGCUUUGAAUCCAAUGAUGAAUAUCUUCAAGCAAGACACAAAUAGCAACAGAUUGGUUACCAAUUCACUCAGUAAACACAAUACUCCGGAAAAGUAUACACUGAAUUCACAAUAAAGUUGUUUUUCCACUUGGAACUUUGUAAACAGAAACCAAGUAACCUCGUUUUACUUCACUCAUAAGUCAUGAUGUACGCGAUGUGGUCACCUCGACCUUUCGUUCCUCCUCCCUCACACUGGCAGACGUCACUAACAAGCUUUCUUACCACCAUUAUCUCAAUACGAAUAACCGGCAGGAGUAAUUUGUUUUUCUAACUUGAUUUUAAAGCAACAAUAAUUAUAAAUCAUAUUUUAAAUUACAUUUUAAUGCAAUUUUAAUGUCAUCUUUUUCAUUUGCAUGUGUGUACCUUUCUGCUACAAAUAAAAGUUUUUUUCCC
Eriocheir sinensis (Chinese mitten crab) is the source of this 669-nucleotide long non-coding RNA. RefSeq lists it as uncharacterized. The record is from RefSeq and is a predicted model, not a curated record. Lineage: Eukaryota; Metazoa; Arthropoda; Malacostraca; Decapoda; Varunidae. The transcript has 2 exons.